This 369-nucleotide ribosomal RNA is filed under the name uncultured bacterium. RNAcentral describes it as "bacterial SSU rRNA". It matches the Rfam family "Bacterial small subunit ribosomal RNA", at positions 28 to 398 of the family's 1533-position model. The record is from RNAcentral.
GACGAACGCUGGCGGCGUGCUUAACACAUGCAAGUCGAGCGGUAAGGCCCUUUCGGGGGUACACGAGCGGCGAACGGGUGAGUAACACGUGGGUGACCUGCCUCUAGCUCUGGGAUAAGCCUGGGAAGCUGGGUCUAAUACCGGAUAUGACCUCGCGGUGCAUGUUGCGGGGUGGAAAGCCUUGUGCGGCUAGGGAUGGGCCCGCGGCCUAUCAGCUUGUUGGUGGGGUGAUGGCCUACCAAGGCGACGACGGGUAGCCGGCCUGAGAGGGCGACCGGCCACACUGGGACUGAGACACGGCCCAGACUCCUACGGGAGGCAGCAGUGGGGAAUCUUGCGCAAUGGGCGAAAGCCUGACGCAGCGACGCC